CAUAUCAAAAAGAAAAAAAAAAUAAAUGUUUACAAUUUUCAUACUCAUGAAACUUAAAGUGUCUAUUUUUAUAAAUUUAAGAAUUUUUAAUUAAUUAGAUAAGAUUUAAUUAGAGCUAAUCUAAACCCAUUAAGAAACCAAACCCAUUAAUGGGAUAAAAUUUUUAUUAAGAAAUCAACCCCAUUAAAUCUAAUCUAAACCAAACCAGAUGGCAAAGGCCCAUUAGAGCAAAUGAACAUUUUUAUAGAAACCCAGAUGCCCACUUUUGGCCUAAAAGCCAACCAUUAAUGAAGAAAGCAUGGGAAGCUUUAAGAUCCAUACUCGCGUUUGCAUAGCCAGUCACCAGCGUUGCAUCGCCGGUCGCCAGGGCAGCCUCUGUCUAGCUCAAAGACCUCUGCAUUUGUGUAAACUAACAUUAUUAUUAUUUUUUUUAAAGACAAGCGUGUCCGAGCACAGAAACGUGUUUCCAACUUCCCAUAUUUAAGGAAAUGGCCCCGACAAGCCUCCCUCACAUUUCUCACCCUCUCCAUGUUGGAAACAUUUCCGGCAUAAGGAAACAUCACUGGUCGACGUUUCCAUGCAUUAUUGGAAUCAAUUAUUGGACAGCCAUAUUGAAAGCUACAAGACUUAGGAAGACAAAAAUAAGCUAGGAUUUAUGUGUUCCGAGAUAAAAAAAAUGCUUGUAUAGAUCACUGAUGAUUGUACCAGGAUCAAAAAGCUAAAAGAUAAAAGACUAAAUUGAUUGCAGUGCUUCAUGAUGAAUAGAAGUAAUCAUUCAAUAGCACAACCAAAUUAUGGCUAAUUCUUAGAAUUGAAACAAGAUAAAAUCGGCACAAUGCAAGUUAGAACAUUGUAGAAUGCAGUCCUACUAAUCCAACAAUCGAUAAAACAGCAAUUAGAAUUGCUGCAGAGUAUUGUGCCAAGCAAUUGAUAAAUUUGUCAAUACAUAUAUCUCAACCAAUCUUUAGUUUCAGACUUUGUACAGGUUAAACUGUUUGAAACUUCAGUGUUAAUAUUAAAGAAAGAAGCAGAAUAUUAUGAUCAAAUCAAAUCCUACUUCCCUAGUAAUAUGAGUGACAAUAUCUACAAGGCCUAAUGGCAAAAAAAUAAAAUAAAAUAUACAUUUCCGUGUUUUUGCGAUUUAUCCAAUCCUUCAAGUUUUGGCAAUUAUGUCCUUAUUUCAAACAUUUGUUGAUAGAAAACUAUUUGGCUUCAUGCCCAGUCG
This 1225-nucleotide unclassified non-coding RNA is filed under the name Hevea brasiliensis (rubber tree). Lineage: Eukaryota; Viridiplantae; Streptophyta; Magnoliopsida; Malpighiales; Euphorbiaceae. The record is from RNAcentral.